This 152-nucleotide ribosomal RNA is filed under the name uncultured cyanobacterium. RNAcentral's name for it is "partial 16S ribosomal RNA". It matches the Rfam family "Bacterial small subunit ribosomal RNA", at positions 1382 to 1533 of the family's 1533-position model. The record is from RNAcentral. Lineage: Bacteria; Bacillati; Cyanobacteriota.
UGUACACACCGCCCGUCACACCAUGGAAGCUGGUCACGCCCGAAGUCAUUACCUCAACCGCAAGGAGGGGGAUGUCUAAGGCAGGGCUAGUGACUGGGGUGAAGUCGUAACAAGGUAGCCGUACCGGAAGGUGUGGCUGGAUCACCUCCUUA